Molecule: ribosomal RNA, 419 nt
Filed under: Lactiplantibacillus plantarum
Lineage: Bacteria; Bacillati; Bacillota; Bacilli; Lactobacillales; Lactobacillaceae
Description: bacterial SSU rRNA
Rfam family: Bacterial small subunit ribosomal RNA
Source: RNAcentral
UUUACAUUUGAGUGAGUGGCGAACUGGUGAGUAACACGUGGGAAACCUGCCCAGAAGCGGGGGAUAACACCUGGAAACAGAUGCUAAUACCGCAUAACAACUUGGACCGCAUGGUCCGAGUUUGAAAGAUGGCUUCGGCUAUCACUUUUGGAUGGUCCCGCGGCGUAUUAGCUAGAUGGUGAGGUAACGGCUCACCAUGGCAAUGAUACGUAGCCGACCUGAGAGGGUAAUCGGCCACAUUGGGACUGAGACACGGCCCAAACUCCUACGGGAGGCAGCAGUAGGGAAUCUUCCACAAUGGACGAAAGUCUGAUGGAGCAACGCCGCGUGAGUGAAGAAGGGUUUCGGCUCGUAAAACUCUGUUGUUAAAGAAGAACAUAUCUGAGAGUAACUGUUCAGGUAUUGACGGUAUUUAACCA